GACGAACGCUGGCGGCGUGCUUAACACAUGCAAGUCGAACGGAAAGGCCCCUUUGGGGGUGCUCGAGUGGCGAACGGGUGAGUAACACGCGAGUAACCUGCCUUCGCUUUCGGGUUAACUUCAGGAAACUGGGGCUAAUACCGGAUAGGUAUCCUUGCCGCCUGGUGGGUGUUGGAAAGCUUCGGGGGUUUUGGAUGGAUUUGCGGCCUAGUAGCUUGGUGGUGGGGUAGUGGCUUACCAAGGAUUUGACGGGUAGCCGGCCUGAGAGGGCGACCGGCCACAAUGGGACUGGGAUACGGCCCAGACUCCUACGGGGGGCAGCAGUGGGGAAUAUUGCACAAUGGGCGGAAGCCUGAUGCAGCAACGCCGCGGGCGGGAUGACGGCCUUCGGGUUGUAAACCGCCUUCAGCAGGGGCGAAGCUUGUGGUGACGGUACCUGCAGAAGAAGCACCGGCUAACUACGUG
Molecule: ribosomal RNA, 465 nt
Filed under: uncultured bacterium
Lineage: Bacteria
Description: partial 16S ribosomal RNA
Rfam family: Bacterial small subunit ribosomal RNA
Source: RNAcentral